RNAcentral lists this transfer RNA (101 nucleotides) under Cellulomonas pakistanensis. RNAcentral describes it as "tRNA-Arg". The record is from RNAcentral. Lineage: Bacteria; Bacillati; Actinomycetota; Actinomycetes; Micrococcales; Cellulomonadaceae.
CGACCGGGCGGUGUGGCCGGACGGGCUCGGCCCGCUCGCGGAGCGGGUGCACGGGCUCGGCAUGCAGCUCGGGCUGUGGUUCGAGCCCGAGAUGGUCAGCC